GCCAUCCUUGGGAUACCACCCUUGUAGUACUGGGACUCUAACCAUAGGCCAUGAAUCUGGUCUUGGGACACUGUCAGGUGGGCAGUUUGACUGGGGCGGUCGCCGCCCAAAAGGUAACGGAGGCGCUCAAAGGUUCUCUCAGUACGGUCGGAAAUCGUACGUAGAGUGUAAAGGCAAAAGAGAGCUUGAUUGCAAGACAUACAGG
RNAcentral lists this ribosomal RNA (205 nucleotides) under Clostridioides difficile. RNAcentral's name for it is "partial 23S ribosomal RNA". It matches the Rfam family "Bacterial large subunit ribosomal RNA", at positions 2185 to 2388 of the family's 2925-position model. The record is from RNAcentral. Lineage: Bacteria; Bacillati; Bacillota; Clostridia; Peptostreptococcales; Peptostreptococcaceae.